RNAcentral lists this ribosomal RNA (403 nucleotides) under Stenotrophomonas sp. HMWF023. Its description in RNAcentral is "bacterial LSU rRNA". It matches the Rfam family "Bacterial large subunit ribosomal RNA", at positions 1 to 450 of the family's 2925-position model. The record is from RNAcentral. Lineage: Bacteria; Pseudomonadati; Pseudomonadota; Gammaproteobacteria; Lysobacterales; Lysobacteraceae.
GUUAUAUGGUCAAGCGAAUAAGCGCACACGGUGGAUGCCUUGGCGGUCAGAGGCGAUGAAGGACGUGGCAGCCUGCGAAAAGUAUCGGGGAGCUGGCAACAAGCUUUGAUCCGGUAAUGUCCGAAUGGGGAAACCCACCCGCUUGCGGGUAUCCUGCAGUGAAUACAUAGCUGCUGGAAGCGAACCUGGUGAACUGAAAUAUCUAAGUAACCAGAGGAAAAGAAAUCAACCGAGAUUCCGUAAGUAGCGACGAGCGAACGCGGACUAGCCCUUAAGCUGAUUUGGUUCUAGGAAAAUGCUCUGGAAAGAGCAGCCAUAGAAGGUGAUAGCCCUGUAUCUGAAAGGGCCAUUUCAGUGAAGACGAGUAGGGCGGGGCACGUGAAACCCUGUCUGAACAUGGGGG